Molecule: ribosomal RNA, 466 nt
Filed under: Vreelandella stevensii
Lineage: Bacteria; Pseudomonadati; Pseudomonadota; Gammaproteobacteria; Oceanospirillales; Halomonadaceae
Description: partial 16S ribosomal RNA
Rfam family: Bacterial small subunit ribosomal RNA
Source: RNAcentral
CCUACGGGAGGCAGCAGUGGGGAAUAUUGGACAAUGGGGGGAACCCUGAUCCAGCCAUGCCGCGUGUGUGAAGAAGGCCCUCGGGUUGUAAAGCACUUUCAGUGAGGAAGAACGCCUGGUGGUUAAUACCCAUCAGGAAAGACAUCACUCACAGAAGAAGCACCGGCUACACUCCGUGCCAGCAGCCGCGGUAAUACGGAGGGUGCGAGCGUUAAUCGGAAUUACUGGGCGUAAAGCGCGCGUAGGUGGCUUGAUAAGCCGGUUGUGAAAGCCCCGGGCUCAACCUGGGAACGGCAUCCGGAACUGUCAAGCUAGAGUGCAGGAGAGGAAGGUAGAAUUCCCGGUGUAGCGGUGAAAUGCGUAGAGAUCGGGAGGAAUACCAGUGGCGAAGGCGGCCUUCUGGACUGACACUGACACUGAGGUGCGAAAGCGUGGGUAGCAAACAGGAUUAGAUACCCGGGUAGUC